UCUGGGACAAGCCCUGGAAACGGGGUCUAAUACCGGAUAACACUCCUGCCUGCAUGGGUGGGGGUUAAAAGCUCCGGCGGUGAAGGAUGAGCCCGCGGCCUAUCAGCUUGUUGGUGAGGUAGUGGCUCACCAAGGCGACGACGGGUAGCCGGCCUGAGAGGGCGACCGGCCACACUGGGACUGAGACACGGCCCAGACUCCUACGGGAGGCAGCAGUGGGGAAUAUUGCACAAUGGGCGAAAGCCUGAUGCAGCGACGCCGCGUGAGGGAUGACGGCCUUCGGGUUGUAAACCUCUUUCAGCAGGGAAGAAGCGAAAGUGACGGUACCUGCAGAAGAAGCGCCGGCUAACUACGUGCCAGCAGCCGCGGUAAUACGUAGGGCGCAAGCGUUGUCCGGAAUUAUUGGGCGUAAAGAGCUCGUAGGCGGCUUGUCACGUCGGUUGUGAAAGCCCGGGGCUUAACCCCGGGUCUGCAGUCGAUACGGGCAGGCUAGAGUGUGGUAGGGGAGAUCGGAAUUCCUGGUGUAGCGGUGAAAUGCGCAGAUAUCAGAGAGGAACACCGGUGGCGAAGGCGGAUCUCUGGGCCAUUACUGACGCUGAGGAGCGAAAGCGUGGGGAGCGAACAGGAUUAGAUACCCUGGUAGUCCACGCCGUAAACGGUGGGAAACUAGGUGUUGGCGACAUUCCACGUCGUCGGUGCCGCAGCUAACGCAUUAAGUUCCCCGCCUGG
RNAcentral lists this ribosomal RNA (729 nucleotides) under Streptomyces sp. RNAcentral describes it as "bacterial SSU rRNA". It matches the Rfam family "Bacterial small subunit ribosomal RNA", at positions 137 to 876 of the family's 1533-position model. Lineage: Bacteria; Bacillati; Actinomycetota; Actinomycetes; Kitasatosporales; Streptomycetaceae. The record is from RNAcentral.